GAUGAACGCUGACAGAAUGCUUAACACAUGCAAGUCUUUGGCGAAGCUGUGCUUGCACCGCCUAGCCAAGGCGGACGGGUGAGUAACGCGUAAGGAACUUGCCCUGCAGUCAGGGAUAACAGACGGAAACGACUGAUAAGACCUGGUAAAGUCAGGCGGACUCAUGUCCAGCCUGAUGAAAAGUGAUGCUGCAGGAGAGCCUUGCGUCCUAUUAGCUUGUUGGUGGGGUAACGGCCCACCAAGGCGAUGAUAGGUAGCCGGCCUGAGAGGGUGGACGGCCACAAGGGGACUGAGAUACGGCCCUUACUCCUACGGGAGGCAGCAGUGGGGAAUAUUGGACAAUGGGGGCAACCCUGAUCCAGCAAUUCUGUGUGCACGAUGAAGGUUUUCGGAGUGUAAAGUGCUUUCAGCAGGGAAGAAAAAAAUGACGGUACCUGCAGAAGAAGCGACGGCUAAAUACGUG
This 463-nucleotide ribosomal RNA is filed under the name uncultured bacterium. Its description in RNAcentral is "partial 16S ribosomal RNA". It matches the Rfam family "Bacterial small subunit ribosomal RNA", at positions 28 to 507 of the family's 1533-position model. The record is from RNAcentral.